GUGUGCUUUUGAUACUGCAUAUACAAAUACAGGCAUUCAUCGUGGCGCUGGCGUAGAACUAGAGAAUCUUUUAGGGCGAAAGCUCAUUUGGUUGCCAUGUCGUCAUCACGUCAUUGAACUACUCAUUAAAGGUGUUUUUGAAGUAUACUGGCCAACGCAAAAUGGCCCAAAUGUUUCAAUUUUUGGUAGAUUCAAAAAUAAUUGGAACAAGAUAGAUAAAUCAAAUUACAGUGCAGGAAUUAAUGAUCCUAUUGUUGCUAAAGUACUAUCAGAGAAAAAAGACGAAACAUUGGAUUUUAUUGAAAGUUAUUCGCUGAAAUAUCUUCCGAGGAAUGAUUACCGAGAAUUUUUAGAGUUAUCGUCAAUUUUUU
This is a long non-coding RNA of Cotesia glomerata, 371 nucleotides long. RefSeq lists it as uncharacterized. The record is from RefSeq and is a predicted model, not a curated record. NCBI's taxonomy places the organism in Eukaryota, Metazoa, Arthropoda, Insecta, Hymenoptera, Braconidae. The transcript has 3 exons.